This 249-nucleotide ribosomal RNA is filed under the name uncultured bacterium. RNAcentral's name for it is "partial 16S ribosomal RNA". It matches the Rfam family "Bacterial small subunit ribosomal RNA", at positions 524 to 771 of the family's 1533-position model. The record is from RNAcentral.
UACAGAGGGUGCGAGCGUUGUCCGGAAUCACUGGGCGUAAAGGGCGCGUAGGUGGUGGCUUAAGCGUGCGGUGAAAGCUCGGGGCUCAACCCCGAGUCGGCCGUGCGAACUGGGCUCACUGGAGCAUAGUAGAGGCAGGUGGAAUUCCGGGUGUAGCGGUGGAAUGCGUAGAGAUCCGGAAGAACACCGGUGGCGAAGGCGGCCUGCUGGGCUAUGGCUGACACUGAGGCGCGACAGCGUGGGGAGCAA